GCAGAGUAGAUAUUUGUGCGUGAAGUGUCAGUCGGACGGGGAGUUGCCGCUGAACGAAAAGUACUAUGCUUGCGGUACAAAUGUCGCAUCCCGCUGC
This 97-nucleotide non-coding RNA is filed under the name human gut metagenome. RNAcentral describes it as "THF riboswitch". It matches the Rfam family "THF (Tetrahydrofolate) riboswitch aptamer". Rfam says of the family: THF riboswitch presents a pseudoknot that joins P1-P2 and the loop of P3 and two THF binding. The record is from RNAcentral.